Molecule: long non-coding RNA, 977 nt
Organism: Panicum virgatum (switchgrass)
Lineage: Eukaryota; Viridiplantae; Streptophyta; Magnoliopsida; Poales; Poaceae
Exons: 3
Source: RefSeq, a predicted model, not a curated record
GUCGGAGCGCUGCAUACACGGGGAGUCCGGGGCUUGGCGGAGCACAGGAGCCACAAUCCACCUGUUUCCCCCUGUUCCCUUUCAGGAUUCAGUGCGGAGGUGAAAUGGAGGAGGUGGAGAAGGCACACGGGCGGCGAAUCGGCAACCUCGUCAGCCUCGACGAUGGUGGUAUCCGGUGACCAGUAUAACUAAUCAUUUACCUCCAAAGGAUUGACACUUGAGGAUCGCCAGUCGAUGUCUCAAUGACUCCCAAGUCGUAGGCUACAUGUCAUUGAGAUUUGUGUAGCGUUUCUCAAGAGUCUAGUGGCUCCUAACGGCUCGGCAUAUAAUUCCAUCAUAACUAUAGUAGCUUACAAAAUUCCAUAGUGGUUAUACUAUUGGUCCAAUGGUGUCACUAUCUUUGUGAUGUGCUUGUCGAUAGCUUGAUUUAUUCUUGUCAUAUUCUAUUGUCAGCAAAAAAAAUUACAUGUAGCUUUUUGAUAUUUUAUUUGUACUCCAGCUGGAAGAAAUCAAACACCAAAAAAAUCCAUAUAGCUUUUCUUUUUUAUUUGCAACUUUUUAUGAUUUUUGUUCAUACUCUAGUUGAAAAAAACAGAAAUGGGACCAAAAUUUUACAUGUAACUUUUCUUUUGAAUUGUAGCUUUUUGGGAUUUUUUUCAUACUGUAGUUGAAAAAAUAGAAACAAUAUCAAAAUUUUACAUGCAACCUUUUCUUUUUUAUUUGCAACUUUUUUAUUUUUGUUUAUACUCUAGUUGGAAAAAAUAGAAAUGGGACCAAAAUUUUACAUGUAACUUUUCUUUUGAUUUGUAACUUUUUGGGAGUUUUUGUUCAUACUCUAGUUGAUAAAAUAGAAACAACAUCAAAAUUUUACGUGUAACCCUUUCUUUUUGUGAUUUUUUGUUCGUACUCUAGUUGAAAAAAAAGCAACCGGACUAAAAUUUUACUCGUAAUUUUUAUUUUGAUUUGUAACUUCUUGA